RNAcentral lists this ribosomal RNA (656 nucleotides) under bacterium LB-158. RNAcentral describes it as "bacterial SSU rRNA". It matches the Rfam family "Bacterial small subunit ribosomal RNA", at positions 783 to 1439 of the family's 1533-position model. The record is from RNAcentral.
AACCCUGGUAGUCCACGCCGUAAACGAUGUCGACUUGGAGGUUGUUCCCUUGAGGAGUGGCUUCCGGAGCUAACGCGUUAAGUCGACCGCCUGGGGAGUACGGCCGCAAGGUUAAAACUCAAAUGAAUUGACGGGGGCCCGCACAAGCGGUGGAGCAUGUGGUUUAAUUCGAUGCAACGCGAAGAACCUUACCUACUCUUGACAUCCACGGAAUUUAGCAGAGAUGCUUUAGUGCCUUCGGGAACCGUGAGACAGGUGCUGCAUGGCUGUCGUCAGCUCGUGUUGUGAAAUGUUGGGUUAAGUCCCGCAACGAGCGCAACCCUUAUCCUUUGUUGCCAGCGGUUCGGCCGGGAACUCAAAGGAGACUGCCAGUGAUAAACUGGAGGAAGGUGGGGAUGACGUCAAGUCAUCAUGGCCCUUACGAGUAGGGCUACACACGUGCUACAAUGGCAUAUACAAAGAGAAGCGACCUCGCGAGAGCAAGCGGACCUCAUAAAGUAUGUCGUAGUCCGGAUUGGAGUCUGCAACUCGACUCCAUGAAGUCGGAAUCGCUAGUAAUCGUAGAUCAGAAUGCUACGGUGAAUACGUUCCCGGGCCUUGUACACACCGCCCGUCACACCAUGGGAGUGGGUUGCAAAAGAAGUAGGUAGCUUAAC